This 429-nucleotide ribosomal RNA is filed under the name uncultured prokaryote. RNAcentral's name for it is "bacterial SSU rRNA". It matches the Rfam family "Bacterial small subunit ribosomal RNA", at positions 355 to 776 of the family's 1533-position model. RNAcentral also lists the same sequence under 1 other name. The record is from RNAcentral.
UGGGGAAUAUUGGACAAUGGGCGCAAGCCUGAUCCAGCCAUGCCGCGUGUGUGAAGAAGGCCUUCGGGUUGUAAAGCACUUUCAGCGAGGAGGAAGAGGUAGACGUUAAUAGCGGUUAUCUUUGACGUUACUCGCAGAAGAAGCACCGGCUAACUUCGUGCCAGCAGCCGCGGUAAUACGAGGGGUGCAAGCGUUAAUCGGAAUUACUGGGCGUAAAGCGUACGUAGGCGGUUAAUUAAGUUGGAUGUGAAAGCCCCGGGCUCAACCUGGGAAUUGCAUUCAAAACUGGUUGACUAGAGUAUGUGAGAGGGGGGUAGAAUUCCAAGUGUAGCGGUGAAAUGCGUAGAGAUUUGGAGGAAUACCAGUGGCGAAGGCGGCCCCCUGGCACACUACUGACGCUGAGGUACGAAAGCGUGGGGAGCAAACAGG